GCCUCGUUAGCUCAGUGGAUCGAGAGCGCCGGCUUGCGGAGCCGGAGGCCGCACGUUCGACUCGUGCACGAGGUACCA
This 78-nucleotide transfer RNA is filed under the name Rubrivivax sp. RNAcentral's name for it is "tRNA-Arg". It matches the Rfam family "tRNA". From Rfam's summary of the family: Transfer RNA (tRNA) molecules are approximately 80 nucleotides in length. Their secondary structure includes four short double-helical elements and three loops (D, anti-codon, and T loops). Further hydrogen bonds mediate the characteristic L-shaped molecular structure. tRNAs have two regions of fundamental functional importance: the anti-codon, which is responsible for specific mRNA codon recognition, and the 3' end, to which the tRNAs corresponding amino acid is attached (by aminoacyl-tRNA synthetases). tRNAs cope with the degeneracy of the genetic code in two manners: having more than one tRNA (with a specific anti-codon) for a particular amino acid; and 'wobble' base-pairing, i.e. permitting non-standard base-pairing at the 3rd anti-codon position. Lineage: Bacteria; Pseudomonadati; Pseudomonadota; Betaproteobacteria; Burkholderiales; Sphaerotilaceae. The record is from RNAcentral.